This 859-nucleotide ribosomal RNA is filed under the name Escherichia coli. Its description in RNAcentral is "partial 23S ribosomal RNA". It matches the Rfam family "Bacterial large subunit ribosomal RNA", at positions 327 to 1191 of the family's 2925-position model. The record is from RNAcentral. Lineage: Bacteria; Pseudomonadati; Pseudomonadota; Gammaproteobacteria; Enterobacterales; Enterobacteriaceae.
UGUUAGUGGAAGCGUCUGGAAAGGCGUGCGAUACAGGGUGACAGCCCCGUACACAAAAAUGCACAUACUGUGAGCUCGAUGAGUAGGGCGGGACACGUGGUAUCCUGUCUGAAUAUGGGGGGACCAUCCUCCAAGGCUAAAUACUCCUGACUGACCGAUAGUGAACCAGUACCGUGAGGGAAAGGCGAAAAGAACCCCGGCGAGGGGAGUGAAAAAGAACCUGAAACCGUGUACGUACAAGCAGUGGGAGCCUCUUAAUGGGGUGACUGCGUACCUUUUGUAUAAUGGGUCAGCGACUUAUAUUCUGUAGCAAGGUUAACCGAAUAGGGGAGCCGAAGGGAAACCGAGUCUUAACUGGGCGUUAAGUUGCAGGGUAUAGACCCGAAACCCGGUGAUCUAGCCAUGGGCAGGUUGAAGGUUGGGUAACACUAACUGGAGGACCGAACCGACUAAUGUUGAAAAAUUAGCGGAUGACUUGUGGCUGGGGGUGAAAGGCCAAUCAAACCGGGAGAUAGCUGGUUCUCCCCGAAAGCUAUUUAGGUAGCGCCUCGUGAAUUCAUCUCCGGGGGUAGAGCACUGUUUCGGCAAGGGGGUCAUCCCGACUUACCAACCCGAUGCAAACUGCGAAUACCGGAGAAUGUUAUCACGGGAGACACACGGCGGGUGCUAACGUCCGUCGUGAAGAGGGAAACAACCCAGACCGCCAGCUAAGGUCCCAAAGUCAUGGUUAAGUGGGAAACGAUGUGGGAAGGCCCAGACAGCCAGGAUGUUGGCUUAGAAGCAGCCAUCAUUUAAAGAAAGCGUAAUAGCUCACUGGUCGAGUCGGCCUGCGCGGAAGAUGUAACGGGGCUAAACCAUG